This is a non-coding RNA of Ustulina deusta, 102 nucleotides long. NCBI's taxonomy places the organism in Eukaryota, Fungi, Ascomycota, Sordariomycetes, Xylariales, Xylariaceae. The record is from the annotation of a GenBank genome assembly.
GAGCGUAUGAUCUAGGGGUAUAAUAUUCGCUUUGUAUAUCUGAUUCUUCAGAGUUCUUUCUACGCCUGCGAAGGUUCCGGGGUUCAAUUCCCCGUUUGUCCA